UCAAGACCAUUCUCUUUUUUGUAUUUCUAUCACGAUUUUCAAUCAGUAAUUUAAGAAAAACAGCAAUUAAAGUGGGUUUUUCUUUUCGCUUUUCAUUCUCCUUUUCUAGCUAUUUAAAUUCACUUCAUUUUAAUCUUUUUCGUCACUGUAAUUCACAAGAAAUCAAUAGAAUAAGAAGCAGCAUUCAACAAAGAGUUGGAACUCUUCAAUUCUCUUUAAUGGCGGCAUUUAAUAAGAAAACCCGGUUGAUGAACAUCGAUAAACCAAAUAUGAAUCUCAGACUCUCUUUAUUUUUGGGGUGGAAUUGCUUCUAUCUGCCCUCUCCCUUUCUCUUAGCUAAUUUCUCUAUUUUUUUAGGGUUUUACAGAUUAUACAACUACCUUUGCUUUCUGCCAUUGAUUAUACAGUUGUUUUUGUUCCCUCACUAAUUUCUAUGCCUCCUCUCAUGUGAGUUUUGCGAUUACAGACGGAUCCAAUACUCUGCUUCCGCCAUUGAUUAUAUUCUUAUUUUUUAAGAUUUCGGUCUUUUAAUUUUGUUUCUCUCCUUUUGUGUAGUUAUUUUUCUCUUAAAAAUGGGGAUUCUGGUUAUGGGUCAAUUGUAUGUUAUGAUUAUUAUUAUGGUUACUGGUCAAUUGUAAAAUUGAGAAAUGUUUGUUUGGCA
Mercurialis annua (annual mercury) is the source of this 661-nucleotide long non-coding RNA. RefSeq lists it as uncharacterized. Lineage: Eukaryota; Viridiplantae; Streptophyta; Magnoliopsida; Malpighiales; Euphorbiaceae. The transcript has 2 exons. The record is from RefSeq and is a predicted model, not a curated record.